Molecule: ribosomal RNA, 505 nt
Filed under: uncultured Lachnospiraceae bacterium
Lineage: Bacteria; Bacillati; Bacillota; Clostridia; Lachnospirales; Lachnospiraceae
Description: partial 16S ribosomal RNA
Source: RNAcentral
CACGUAGUUAGCCGGGGCUUCUUAGUCAGGUACCGUCCAAAGUCCUGUGGACCUUUUUUCUUCCCUGCUGAUAGAGCUUUACGUACCGAAAUACUUCUUCACUCACGCGGCGUCGCUGCAUCAGGGUUUCCCCCAUUGUGCAAUAUCCCCCACUGCUGCCUCCCGUAGGAGUCUGGGCCGUGUCUCAGUCCCAAUGUGGCCGUUCACCCUCUCAGGCCGGCUACUGAUCGUUGCCUUGGUGGGCUUUUACCUCACCAACUAGCUAAUCAGACGCGGAACCAUCGUAUACCACCGGAGUUUUUCACACUGCUUCAUGCGAAGCUGUGCGCUUAUGCGGUAUUAGCACCUAUUUCUAAGUGUUAUCCCCCAGUAUACGGCAGGUUUUCCACGCGUUACUCACCCGUCCGCCACUAACUUAUAAUUCACUAGGUUUCGUUAUAAGUCCGUUCGACUUGCAUGUGUUAGGCACGCCGCCAGCGUUCAUCCUGAGCCAGGAUCAAACUCU